AUGUCGAAGCCUGCUGCACAUCGGCACCAAAAACAGGAAAACAGAGAAGCCUCAGGGAUCAACCAAAGGCCUAAGACCCCAAUCCUCUCGCCUAGGCUCGAAGGCGCCGAACCGUCGGGCCGUUGGGCGCUCACCCGAGAGCACGGACAUGUGUCGGUCGUAACCCAGAACCGGCAUAGCUCACGGUUCUCACCACGCUGUAGGCUCACACCACUAGCUGCACUACCACCCGCCCGGGCAACCGAGAACAGCAGGAAUGCCGCUGGGAGGAUUAUCGAAGAAACCAGCUACAAAGACCCUAGGGUGAAGCUUGGAGAAGCCUCUGAUUGGACUCGCAGCCGACGGGCGCUCUCCUACCACGGCCCAAAGUUGCAGAGCGGACAGCCGGAGGGAAGGAGUGGGCAGAGGAGAAGAAAACAGCCCGACCUUCAGAUCUGGAUCGGAAGAAAUCCGCGCCAUGACCACCACCCGCCGGCUCCACGCCGCUCGAGCAGCCGAGAAGGCCGACUGCCACAUCCCGCGCACGCCGCCUGCCGCAGAGGCCGCGCCGCCUCGCCGACCGGGGCCGUCGCCCCGGAGUCCGUGGUCCCUUGCAAGGGGAAUGAAGCGACGAGAGACCUCGCCGCCACCUUCAUCGGCGGCCGCUGCGACUUGACUGGCGUCCCACAGGUGGCGGCAAGGGGAGCAGGUGCUGGGGGUGGGGGCGCCGGGGGAAACCCUAGUCGCACGCGGAGGACGACAUGGGAGCCACGCGGGGGGGGGGGGCCUAUAACUUAUGCUGGGGACAAAAAAUAUACUUAUCCCUUUUCAAACGCCACCGGAAUACAAGUCGCCGGCCGGGUGGGUGCGCGCGAGGCUGGGCGAGACCCGUCCAGGUCCAGCGGGCAUCAGUCAGAUCGCGCAUCCCGUAGCUUCUUCCCAAGUUGCAAGACCAUGGUGCGGGCGCCCUCGCCUUCUUCUCUUCUCUACGCUCCCCUGCUCGUCGUGACCGCGCUGGUCGGGCAGUACCCGACGGGCUCGCUGCGGGUGGCGACGGCGCAGACCGUGGCGGCGCCGGUGCCCGUGCGCGUCGGGGUGAUCAUGGACUGGUCGACCAAGGCGUCGUCGGCGGUGUCGCUGAGGCGGCGGACCGGCAUUCAGAUGGCGGUGGAGGACUACUACGCGGCGCACCCGGAGUCGGCCGCGCGGGUGGAGCUCCGCUUCAGCGACUCCAAAGGGGAGGUCGUGGCGCCGCCUCCGCCGUGGGACUGGGCGCCAAGCACCCGUAAAGCUCAGUUGAUGUACACGUCUGCAGCAUGUCUGUUACUUGAUCGGUAUCCUAGCCAGACACCUACAGCUUCUUGCUCCAGCUCUGUUAUUGUGGGGGUUGAUCUUCAUCGUGGGGGCUGCGGGAUAAGCUUUGUUAUUGUGGAGAGUCGAGACACCUACAGCUUCUUCCUCCAGCUCCAUGCCAUUGCCAUGCAUGCACGUCGCCUUCUCCACCGCGUGUACGUGCUAGCCCGCGAGCUGCUUAGCCCCGUACCCCGAGUAGCACCAAAUGUUAGCGUGGGCACGACAACGUACGACAGAGAUGCCUCUCAGAUCUUACUAUACCACUAUCCAUUCCAACUCUUUGAUUGCACCCUCAUGCAUCGGAUCCAAGUUUCAACUGGUGUGACAGCAAUCAUGUGGACGCAUGUGCAUCAUCCAACGAGUCACCAGAGUGGAAUGCUAGCUCCAGUCGUCCAGUAUUUAGGCCCUGUUCGGAUCUGCUCCACUCCGCAACUCCACUCCCGGAGCUGCCGGAGCGGCGCCGAACGCCACAGCUCCGUGGAGUCAGAGGAGUGGAGUCUGGCGGAGUGGCAAAAGCUGAGCUCCGCGUGUGACUCCCGCAACUGA
This 1878-nucleotide ribosomal RNA is filed under the name Triticum aestivum (bread wheat). RNAcentral describes it as "partial small subunit ribosomal RNA". Lineage: Eukaryota; Viridiplantae; Streptophyta; Magnoliopsida; Poales; Poaceae. The record is from RNAcentral.